This 253-nucleotide ribosomal RNA is filed under the name uncultured bacterium. RNAcentral describes it as "partial 16S ribosomal RNA". It matches the Rfam family "Bacterial small subunit ribosomal RNA", at positions 524 to 776 of the family's 1533-position model. The record is from RNAcentral.
UACGUAGGGGGCAAGCGUUGUCCGGAUUUAUUGGGCGUAAAGAGCGUGUAGGCGGUCCGGUAAGUCCGCUGUGAAAGUCGGGGGCUCAACCCUCGAAUGCCGGUGGAUACUGUCGGGCUAGAGUGCGGAAGAGGCGAGUGGAAUUCCUGGUGUAGCGGUGAAAUGCGCAGAUAUCAGGAGGAACACCUAUUGCGAAGGCAGCUCGCUGGGACGUAACUGACGCUAAGGCGCGAAAGCGUGGGGAGCGAACAGG